CAGCAUAAUAAAGAAUUUGUGAAUGAAAGGAACACAAUAUUUCAGAAUAUAUGACGUCCUAGCCUUUUAUGCCAAGUUCAAACUCCACCAAUUUCAAGUUGCUAUGAACCUUGAAUUGUGACAUUUGAGCAAGCAACUCUUUUGGGUUUUCACAUCAAAACAGAAAAACUAGUUAGCAAAGCCUAAAAUAUGCAACCAUAUUUACAACAAAACAAUGAUACUGAGAUAUCAUUAGAAACUCUGAAACAGUAUGCAUCAAUACCUGUACUGGAAAAAGAGGAAGCAACAGGCAUCUGAAAUUGCUAACCAAAGAGAAUCUCAAAUGGACUGUGGGAUUUGCUGGAUAGUAUGAAACAAUUUCAAAGGUUUUCUGCAAAUACUUAAGGAGACUGCAAAACAUUUGAGUAGUGUCAAACACCUGAUUUGUCACAAUCGUGCAUAAUAACUUUCCAUUAUGAUGAGAGAAGAAAAAGCAGUAAGGAGGAAUGAGAGAAGAUUUUGCAAGAAUUGUCUGGUAAGAAACCUGGACAAGCUCAGGCUUCAUCUGAUUUGAAAUAUUUAAAUUCAAGACUUAACCUUAGCCAGCAAAAGAACAUAGUGGUUUAUUUUUCCUCAUCUCUCAUGUAUUAUAAAAAGCAUGAAUGUUUAAAUGAUGUCUAUAGAGAUAAACUUUCUAGGUAGUGCAUUUAAAAGACUGUACAGACUAUAGAUUUCCCUCCUUAGCUAUUUGUGAAAAUUUGGAAAAUGUUUUUGCCUAAUGGGAAAACAGAAUCUAGACCACUGGGGAUGGGGGUGGGGGCUCCCACCAUGGUGUGCACUGCUUCUCUGAUGUUUUAGUGGCCAUGGAGGGGAUCUGGCUGCAGUUACAGCUCUGCUGUUGUCAUUGUCACAUCUAUUUCCGACCCAGUCUCUUCUGCUGUGUGGUGGGCUUGGCGAUUGCUCCCGCUGCAGUUCCUUUGUUAGAGAUUUGCCCUCUUGACACAUCUGAAUGAAGAAGUUGCAGUACGAAAAGAAGAUUGGUGACAGACUCUGCAAUUUCAUUCCCUGUAGUAGGUCCUGAAACCUUAUCUACAUGUCAUCUGGCUAAUCAGAGGUCCAUGGUGAGAUCUGUCAGAGAUUUCUGUUUUAAAAAAGAAAUUCAGACACAGUUGACAGGAGAAUAGGAGUGCUUCUUCGGUCCUGUACCAGCACUGUCUAUUAUGCCAGUGCAAGCCUGAGGCUGUAGUGACAGAGGAACCUCAGGGUAGCCUCCUAAGGACAUCAGCACAGGUGGGCAGAGCCCUUUCCCUCCCUCCACAACAACAGAACCAAACAAAGGACCCACCACCACAGCAAAAAGCAGGGACAAGGUAAAAAUAGAACAGCUGAACAUCAGUGUGAACACAUUUGUGAGAGAAUAUAAUGAAACUCAUGAAUCAUACAAUCAGUUAGAUAGUGUCAAAUGGGGCAACUAUAUCUUCCCAAAGGGUUGGAAGUUCAUGUCUGUAACCAAGCCAAUAAAAUCAUCAAGCAGAAAAUGCCACUUUAUUACUUAAGAAUUUAUAAAACCUUGGAAAUUUAAAAAUGUACACUAAUUUAUAAUACUUGUCUCUGGAAAAGCAACUCAGUUUCUUGGUGGCUCCUAAUCCUUUUUUCUCUUAAUACAAAGAUUAAUACAGUGUACAAAGUACACUGACCUUGGAACCAAACCUUAAUAGAAAUGAGAAUACAGAUAUCCAUUAGACUCUGCAAACCUCUCUAUGAUUCUAAGUAAAUUGCACUUGUGAGUUCCACAAGAGGAAGUGCAGUUCAAUUGUUAAGAACACAGGCUGCAGAACUGAAUAUCUGGCUUCAAACUCUGG
Molecule: long non-coding RNA, 1841 nt
Organism: Marmota monax (woodchuck)
Lineage: Eukaryota; Metazoa; Chordata; Mammalia; Rodentia; Sciuridae
Exons: 4
Source: RefSeq, a predicted model, not a curated record